Molecule: ribosomal RNA, 376 nt
Filed under: uncultured bacterium
Lineage: Bacteria
Description: bacterial SSU rRNA
Rfam family: Bacterial small subunit ribosomal RNA
Source: RNAcentral
AUACGUAGGUGGCAAGCGUUGUCCGGAAUUACUGGGUGUAAAGGGAGCGCAGGCGGGGAGACAAGUCAGCUGUGAAAACUAUGGGCUUAACCCAUAAACUGCAGUUGAAACUGUUUUUCUUGAGUGGAGUAGAGGUAGGCGGAAUUCCGAGUGUAGCGGUGAAAUGCGUAGAUAUUCGGAGGAACACCAGUGGCGAAGGCGGCCUACUGGGCUCUAACUGACGCUGAGGCUCGAAAGUGUGGGGAGCAAACAGGAUUAGAUACCCUGGUAGUCCACACUGUAAACGAUGAUUGCUAGGUGUGGGGGGGCUUACCCCUUCCGUGCCGCAGCUAACGCAAUAAGCAAUCCACCUGGGGAGUACGGCCGCAAGGUUGAA